GGUUGAUCCUGCCAGUAGUGAUAUGCUUGUCUCAAAGGCUAAGCCAUGCAAGUGUUAGUAUGAACUGAUAUUAUAUAGUGAAACUGCGAAUGGCUCAUUAAACCAGUUAUAGUUUACAAGAUGGAUACGUGCUUCGGUACACUACAUGGAUAACUGUAGUAACAUAGAGCUAAUACAUGCGUAAAGAUCCGACUUUACAGAAGGAUCUGCACUUAUUAGAUAACAAACCAAUAUCCUCUCGGGGAUUUCAUUGGUGAUUCAUAGUAACUGAACAAAUCGCAUAGCCUCGUG
This 291-nucleotide ribosomal RNA is filed under the name uncultured eukaryote. RNAcentral describes it as "partial 18S ribosomal RNA". It matches the Rfam family "Eukaryotic small subunit ribosomal RNA", at positions 6 to 283 of the family's 1831-position model. The record is from RNAcentral.